ACCUGGGUGGCUCAGUCGGUUGAGUGUCUGACUUUGGCUCAGGUCACAGUUCGUGGGUUCGAGCCCCAUGGCAGGCU
RNAcentral lists this transfer RNA (77 nucleotides) under Felis catus (domestic cat). It matches the Rfam family "tRNA". Rfam says of the family: Transfer RNA (tRNA) molecules are approximately 80 nucleotides in length. The record is from Rfam by way of RNAcentral. Lineage: Eukaryota; Metazoa; Chordata; Mammalia; Carnivora; Felidae.